Molecule: transfer RNA, 74 nt
Filed under: Bacteroidales bacterium
Lineage: Bacteria; Pseudomonadati; Bacteroidota; Bacteroidia; Bacteroidales
Also listed under: 1 other name
Description: tRNA-His
Rfam family: tRNA
About the family: Transfer RNA (tRNA) molecules are approximately 80 nucleotides in length.
Source: RNAcentral
GUGGCUGUAGCUCAGUUGGCUAGAGCGCCAGAUUGUGGCUCUGGAGGUCGUGGGUUCGAGACCCACCAGCCACC